This 267-nucleotide long non-coding RNA is filed under the name Carica papaya (papaya). RNAcentral describes it as "long non-coding RNA (CPAP_LNC001094)". Lineage: Eukaryota; Viridiplantae; Streptophyta; Magnoliopsida; Brassicales; Caricaceae. The record is from RNAcentral.
AAAAUCUAAAAAAUUUUAAAAAUAAUUACAGGUCACUAGUAGAGCCGGAACCAGUUAGUCCACAAUUAUCUUGAUUUUUUGUUUAUUUUCUUAUACUGUCCUACUUGCUUUAUUUUCAUAUAGUACAUGUUCUUAAUUUAUAGUUCAAGAGUCUUAUCAACUUAUCUAAUUAUUUUAGUUAUGUACCGUCAGCAUGAAUGUAGGUUAAUUGAUAUGUGAAUAUGAUAUAAGAUAUUAGUAUGUAUUUGUUGGUUGUUUGUUGAUAAA